RNAcentral lists this ribosomal RNA (1426 nucleotides) under uncultured bacterium. RNAcentral describes it as "bacterial SSU rRNA". It matches the Rfam family "Bacterial small subunit ribosomal RNA". The record is from RNAcentral.
GAGUUUGAUCCUGGCUCAGGACGAACGCUGGCGGCGUGCUUAACACAUGCAAGUCGAACGGGCUUCUGGGGUUCUGGCUUUUGGUUGGGGUUCUGGGGGUUAGUGGCGAACGGGUGAGUAACACGUGAGUAACCUGCCCUUCACUUCUGGAUAACCGCUUGAAAGGGUGGCUAAUACGGGAUGUUUCUGGGUCUGUCGCAUGGCGGGUUCGGGAAAGAUGGCACUGUUUGGUGUUUUUGGUGGGGGAUGGGCUCGCGGCCUAUCAGCUUGUUGGUGGGGUGAUGGCCUGCCAAGGCUUUGACGGGUAGCCGGCCUGAGAGGGUGGGCGGUCACACUGGGACUGAGAUACGGCCCAGACUCCUACGGGAGGCAGCAGUGGGGAAUAUUGCACAAUGGGCGGAAGCCUGAUGCAGCGACGUCGCGUGAGGGAUGGAGGCCUUCGGGUUGUGAACCUCUUUCGCCAGUGAGGAAGGCCUUGCCCGUGUGGUGGGGUUGACGGUAGCUGGGUUAAUUGAAGCGCCGGCUAACUACGUGCCAGCAGCCGCGGUAAUACGUAGGGCGCGAGCGUUGUCCGGAAUUAUUGGGCGUAAAGGGCUUGUAGGCGGUUGGUCGCGUCUGCCGUGAAAUCCUCUGGCUCAGCUGGGGGCGUGCGGUGGGUACGGGCUGGCUUGAGUGCGGUAGGGGAGGCUGGAACUCCUGGUGUAGCGGUGGAAUGCGCAGAUAUCAGGAGGAACACCGGUGGCGAAGGCGGGUCUCUGGGCCGUUACUGACGCUGAGGAGCGAAAGCGUGGGGAGCGAACAGGAUUAGAUACCCUGGUAGUCCACGCUGUAAACGUUGGGCACUAGGUGUGGGGGGUCUUUCCGGGUCUUCCGCGCCGUAGCUAACGCAUUAAGUGCCCCGCCUGGGGAGUACGGCCGCAAGGCUAAAACUCAAAGGAAUUGACAGGGACCCGCACAAGCGGUGGAUGAUGUGGAUUAAUUCGAUGCAACGCGAAGAACCUUACCUGGUCUUGACAUGUACGGAAUCCUCCAGAGACGGAGGAGUGCCUUCGGGAGCCGUAACACAGGUGCUGCAUGGCUGUCGUCAGCUCGUGUCGUGAGAUGUUGGGUUAAGUCCCGCAACGAGCGCAACCCUUGUCAUUAGUUGCCAUCAUUUAGUUGGGCACUCUAAUGAGACUGCCGGUGACAAGCCGGAGGAAGGUGGGGAUGACGUCAAGUCCUCAUGGCCCUUAUGACCAGGGCUUCACACGUCAUACAAUGGUCGGUACAGAGGGUAGCCAAGCCGCGAGGUGGAGCCAAUCUCACAAAACCGAUCGUAGUCCGGAUUGCACUCUGCAACUCGAGUGCAUGAAGUCGGAAUCGCUAGUAAUCGCAGGUCAGCAUACUGCGGUGAAUACGUUCCCGGGUCUUGUACACACCGCCCGUC